RNAcentral lists this ribosomal RNA (253 nucleotides) under uncultured bacterium. Its description in RNAcentral is "partial 16S ribosomal RNA". It matches the Rfam family "Bacterial small subunit ribosomal RNA", at positions 524 to 776 of the family's 1533-position model. The record is from RNAcentral.
UACGUAGGGUGCAAGCGUUAUCCGGAAUUCUUGGGCGUAAAGAGCUCGUAGGCGGUUUGUCGCGUCUGCUGUGAAAACUGGAGGCUCAACCUCCAGCCUGCAGUGGGUACGGGCAAACUAGAGUGCGGUAGGGGAGAUUGGAAUUCCUGGUGUAGCGGUGGAAUGCGCAGAUAUCAGGAGGAACACCGAUGGCGAAGGCAGAUCUCUGGGCCGUAACUGACGCUGAGGAGCGAAAGCAUGGGGAGCGAACAGG